Long non-coding RNA from Dama dama (fallow deer), 559 nucleotides. RefSeq lists it as uncharacterized. The record is from RefSeq and is a predicted model, not a curated record. The transcript is spliced from 4 exons. NCBI's taxonomy places the organism in Eukaryota, Metazoa, Chordata, Mammalia, Artiodactyla, Cervidae.
CACCGCUCCCCCCACCCAGCCUCUCCGGCUGGUCCCCAGCCCUGCUGCCUUUCAAGUUGGACAACUUGGAAAGGAGAGAGAGAGAGGGAGAGAAAAUGACAGAGGCUCACAUACUUGAUGAAGAAGACUCUCCCACCGCGGUCAACUCCAUCCUACAUGUUUUUAGUAAAGAAAGCUGCCUUUGACAGUAAAGGAGAGCUGCAUCCGAGAAUCACAGGCCCAUCCCGCUGAUAAAGCCCAGAGCCACCUGCCCACCCCUAUGAUAUCAGAGGAUCUGAACCACCAGGACUGCUGCCAAGAUGCCUCCAGGGAAAAUACCAGCAAGCACUGCACUCCCUGUGCAACCUGAGCAACCAGAGAAAAGCAGGGGGAGACCUGAGACAGACAGAAAGCAGGAAGCAGUGUGACCACAGAGGCAGAGGCGGAAGUGAAGCCACCACAGAGCAAGGGAUGGUGACAGUCACCAGAACCUGGAAGAGGUGAAGAAGGACUUCUCCCCCAGAGCCUGCAGAGGGGUGUGGCCCUCACACUUCAAUUGCAGUCUUCUGGAAUCCGGAAC